UAAAAGGCCUCAUGCAGAGUUAAUCUUGUUUGGGUGGUUCAGCAGUUGUAUUUAGCUGCUAUGUGCUGGUUUACAGAGAAUACCUAGGCACUAAUUUCUUAUUAAUGAGCAUCUUGAGUUACAAUAUUAAUGCCUGGCUCAUCAAGAGAAGUUGUGGAGUGCUGAAAGUCACUGUGGUUCGUCUGGUGAAGACCAUGGGACCUUCCAUACCAAGAAACAUAUCUAGGCUUGAGCAAAUCCAUGUGUUCAAUCAGAACAGCAAAGGUACACAACUCGACAACUGGCAUCUAAUGAACCAAAAGCUUCUGAAAAUCUCACUACUGACUUUGCCAAGCUGAACUCUACCCGUGAGGUCUGUGAGUCCCGCUACCAAUGUCCUUACUGAAGCAGACCAUUUUUGCCAGUCUUGGAGGUUGUUUCACCGAUGUGAGCACUUAGCCACCAGAAGCAAAACUGAGAAGAGCAGAUGUGUUCUAUUAAAACUAGAGUGCAGCCAAAAUAGCCUUUUGAGUAUGGCUUCAUUAAGACACAGGUGACUGAAAUCUUGAUCACAACUCUUCUCAGAACAAACAAACAAAAACUCAAUUUCCUAUUUGUUGCCUGAUUUCAACUGCAGGGUGUGAAGCUGGUGCUAUUUCACAGAUACUGUGCAUGGUAUCCAUUUUCACAAAGUGUAUUAGAUCCAGUAUCCACUCCUUACAGCCCCAAAUUGUUUCUAUGCCCUAUUUCUGUAUGCUGUUAGUAAAGAAGGAUUAAACCACUAAAACAAAAAAAAAAUACAAAAAAAAAACCCUCACAUUGUAUAAAACCUUUCUGGAACGCUAUUGCUGCUUGUAGAUUGUAUCACUGAGUGGUAGAAUGCUUAUAAUGGUUGUAUGUAAGCGAAAACGUUUAAGAUUUUUGUAGAGGAAGUAUUAAGGGGGGAGAAAUCUGAUAAAUUCAUAGGUGUUUUUUUUUUCCUUACUGGGUGCAAAAGCAAAGCUUACUGAAGUCAUGGUAUAUUUCUUAUUUGAAGCCGGUGGAAUCUUGGUUCUUUCAUGAAACCACAACUUUUUUUACAAGCCCUAAUCAGAGACAGAAAAUCUCUGUGGCUGAAGAGAAGAGCACUAAGGGUUUUGUUUGUUUGUUUGUUUGUUCUUAAAUAAUAAUAAUAAUUGUGAGUGUGACCCUGAAGGAAGACACUCCCAAAGCCACACUGAGAAGACUGCAAGAGGGCUAACACUAAACCUGAAGAAUCCAAUCUCUUGCACUGUCUCUAAGCAUUUGACAGGACUGCUAUCAUCAGUAUACUUGGCUUUAAAAAAUUAAUUCCUGCUUACUGAUUAUUACGCUACCUUC
Molecule: long non-coding RNA, 1338 nt
Filed under: Anser brachyrhynchus (Pink-footed goose)
Lineage: Eukaryota; Metazoa; Chordata; Aves; Anseriformes; Anatidae
Description: lncRNA (ENSABRG00000006302.1)
Source: RNAcentral